GACGAACGCUGGCGGCGUGCCUAAUACAUGCAAGUCGAGCGAAGUUUUUCUGGUGCUUGCACUAGAAAAACUUAGCGGCGAACGGGUGAGUAACACGUAAAGAACCUGCCUCAUAGACUGGGACAACUAUUGGAAACGAUAGCUAAUACCGGAUAACAGUAUUUCUCGCAUGAGAGAUAUUUAAAAGUUGGUUAUGCUAACACUAUGAGAUGGCUUUGCGGUGCAUUAGCUGGUUGGUGGGGUAAAGGCCCACCAAGGCGACGAUGCAUAGCCGACCUGAGAGGGUGAUCGGCCACACUGGGACUGAGACACGGCCCAGACUCCUACGGGAGGCAGCAGUAGGGAAUCUUCCGCAAUGGGCGAAAGCCUGACGGAGCAACGCCGCGUGAGUGAAGAAGGAUUUCGGUUCGUAAAGCUCUGUUGUUAGGGAAGAAUGGAUAUGUAGUAACUAUACAUGUAAGAGACGGUACCUAACCAGAAAGCCACGGCUAACUACGUG
RNAcentral lists this ribosomal RNA (499 nucleotides) under uncultured bacterium. RNAcentral's name for it is "partial 16S ribosomal RNA". It matches the Rfam family "Bacterial small subunit ribosomal RNA", at positions 28 to 507 of the family's 1533-position model. The record is from RNAcentral.